UUAAAAAGCUCGUAGUUGGAUUUCUGGGAGGGUGCCAAUGUCCGUCAACGUGCGUGUGCAGCGGCGCCCUUCCAUCCUUCUGUUAACGCCUCUGGGCAUUUAUUUGCUGGUGGCGGGCUCAGAUAUUUUACCUUGGAGAAAAUUAGAGUGUUUCAGG
RNAcentral lists this ribosomal RNA (157 nucleotides) under uncultured eukaryote. RNAcentral describes it as "partial 18S ribosomal RNA". The record is from RNAcentral.